This 7744-nucleotide long non-coding RNA is filed under the name Gossypium barbadense (sea-island cotton). RNAcentral describes it as "long non-coding RNA (GBAR_LNC015841)". Lineage: Eukaryota; Viridiplantae; Streptophyta; Magnoliopsida; Malvales; Malvaceae. The record is from RNAcentral.
AAAAUUAGGGAUCACACGAUGGAACUUCGAGCCUUUGUAGUGGAGUGGUUUACCGGAACGACCGACGCCUUUCUCGCCGGUACAUAGUGCACGGAAGUUCUCGGCAGUGCGAGGGGUAACAUCGGCAAAAAGCUCCAUCAUGAUCCGACCAGCCGGUUCGCCUCCGAUCGUCACGUCGAAGAAUACUUUAGGAUUGGAAACCAUUGCUGAAUAUUGGAUUUUGUAUUGUUUUGAUAGGUCAGUAGGGUACGUAAAGGGGAGGGACUAUGUUUAUAUAGGAUAAGGGGAGGCUCGAAAGUUGACGGGAUAGAUUCUAAAUCUAAUUCUUUCGGUUUAAAAUGAUCAAAUGCGAGUUAAAAUUGAAUUCCAUUCACAUUUUGUGAUAAAUACGAAUAUAUAUAACAUUUUAAAAUGAUAAAACAAAGGUGGCUGUUUCUGCCAAAUCUAUUGGUUGUCUCUAGCACCAUAUUUAGUAUUUAAAGUGUGUUUCUGUUUGAGACACUUUCUGCUUUUCUCUAUGUAUACUAUGAAAAGUUAUUCUUUGCUUAAAGGAGCUUACAUAGAUGGAAUAUGGUAUAAUAAUUUUUUAUGCAAGAUGUAGGGCAGGUAAAGUGAUGUUCACAUUGUAGGUGGUGUGUACAGCUAUUAACCAUGAAGGUUUUGAAUUUGUAUUUGAAUAGAGUGAGGGUUGUAUUAUAUAUCUCGUGCCUUUACGUUGGUGCUGGAGGAUAUUAUUUAUAAACGAAGGUUGGUUUGGUAUGGGUUUCAAUCAUCUAUUGUUGUAUUCUAUAGAUGUAGGUAGUAGAAUGAUCAACUAGGAACACUUUUGGAGUUGAUAUGAGGGGACUUUGUGAGGUGACUUGUUAUAAUAUUAUCAGUUCGAAGAGAUGAUAGAUAGAUGGGUGUUGAUAGGAACACUUAUCCAUGUAUAUUCUAAGGAUUGUGUGGGAUCAUCUCAUUUGAUGCGGUGUUUAGUGAAGCGAGAUUGGGACUAUGCUUCUAGCAAGGCCGAGCUUCAUCAAAUUUUACCUUCAAGUAUAAGCAUCAGGUGGUUCGAUGAGAGGUGAUAUGGUGAGGGUAUAAUAAUUGCCCCUAAAUGAAAUGCAAGUUAUAAAGUGACCUACCUUGAGUGAAAUAUCUAGUGAAACACUAAAACGACUUUUGAAAUGUCAUGCUUAAUAUCCAAUCAUUGUGCCCUUUCAUUAAUUACUCUAUGCUAGCUUUGAUUUAUAAAACUUUUUAUAUAAUAACAUUUAAGAUAUUUUUUUUCAUAUUAUUGCUUAAGUCAUUUAUGUUUUAAAACAAAAUAAAUAUUUUAGAAAAUAUUUUCAAAUCCAAAGCAAGCUUAAAGAAUGCUGGUUUAAAUUGAUUUUACUCAUAUCUUGUGCUCUUAAGUUAACUGAAAAGCUUUGAAAAUAUUUUAAAGUGUGUUUUUGAAACAAAAAUAACCAUUUUAAUAGCUAAGUGUCGAUACCCCUAGGCUAGUAUCCAUAGGCCUUUCUAGAGGGGUAAGAUAAUACUUGUUCUUGAGGUACUGAUACACACCCAAGUAUCGUAUUUUACGUAAAGUAUCAGCCUUGAAAUGUCAAUAGCCAAAACUUUUUUUCUAGACGGGCAAGGUAUCGAUACCUUGAUACCUGUUAUUGAGGUAUCGAUACCUAACCCAAAAAGUAUCAAUACCUCAUUAUUUAUAAUGACUAUUUUUUUUAGAAGUAUGGAUACCCUCUUCAUAGGUAAUGAUACAUUAGGAUGUAGGGUUGUUUCAACUUGCAUUUUUAAUGCUUCUAACGGCUCUUUUUCAUCCCCUACGACCAUAAAUAGCUAGAAUUCACUUCAUUGACAUAAAGAGAGGUCGAUGAAUGAAGAGAUAUCAUGUAACACCCCUAACCCGUAUCCGUCACCGAAUUAGGGUUACGAGGCAUUACCGAACAAAUUCAACAUUUUUAAAACCAAACUGAUCACAACGUAAAAAUUUAAUUACUUUCGCAUAGCUAUUAUAAUUUACAAUCAAAAUGUAAUUAACAUCGUACUCAAACCUAUACAUGCCAUAAGAUUGAGUUCAAAUCUUUAACAAAAUACCAAAAGAAGUCGAUAGUGUGAUGGACUAUGCUGAUGAUCCCCGAGCUCGUAACGCGUCUCCAAAAUCUAUAAAAGCAAAUGGACGAAAACAAGCAAAGUAAGCUUUUAUAGCUUAGUAAGUCUACAGGAUAACUAAAUGUAUAUAAAUAUAUAAAUAAAGUUACUUUUUAAUCUAUUUCACUGAGAUUUCAAUUAACACGAAUAACUAAUAUUUAUAUGUUAUUGUACUCAGCCCAUUUCAUUUAUAGAUAGAUAUGCAUACCUGUCGAAAGCGAUCAAUUGAAUAUAUAUUUUUAUACCAAACACAUUACAACGAAUGUAUACAACCGCGCAUAUAUAUAUUAUACACAUAUCAUAACCGAAUGUGUAUGAAUACUCAUUUUAAACUUUAAAUCAAUACAAAUCUAAUACAUAUGAACGAAUGCAUUUAUUUUCAUCAAAUACUUAUAAACCAAGGUAUAUAUAUAUCUCGAAUGCAUAUAUAGUUACUAAUCAAAUAUGUGUACCGAAUAUUUAAAAGUAUAUAUUUAUCAAAUGCAUAAUCCCAGAGCAUAUAUAUAUUUCUCAAUUGUAUAAGCCGGAUAUAUAUAUAAUCAUCAAACGCACUUAGCCAAUUGUAUAUAUAUAAAUAUACUUAUCAAUUAAAUAUAUCCAAAAUCAUAUAAUUGUACACCUAAUCACAUACUUAAAACAGAUUCACCGGCAUUUAGCCUGCUAGGCUUUAAGCCUGAUUCAGUACACCGGCACUUAGCCUGCUAGACAUAUAGUCUGAAAUAUUUCACCGGCAUUAAGUCUGCUAGACAUAUAGUCUGAAGUGUUUCACUGGCAAUAAGCCUGCUAAGCGCUAUGCUUGAAAAUCUCAAUUUUCCCAUAUACAGAAUAAUUUCCUCAAAUACUUAUUAACAGCAAACACACAUUCAUUGUAGUCCAUAUUCAAUCACAAAAGAGUUUGCGAAUCAUACAUUCGAUUCAAUUCAAGAAUCUGUACACAAAUAUACAUUUAGAUAUAUUCGAACUCCCAAGUACGUUUUUAACAUUUAUACCUUAAAAUAUAAUCAAGACUUAUUCAUAUAUAUAUAUAGAUGUUCCAACUCCAUAUACUUACUUAUUCGAAAUUAUCUGUACAAUUACAACAUACAUACUUUUAAUCAAACCCAAAUGUUUUUACAUACAUCUAUAUGUUCGAAACUUAUGUAUACAUAUGUAUUAUACAUAUCUUUAAUUUAAGCAAGAAUUUAUACAUGUAUUUACUUACAUAUAUUUGAAUCUUAAGUGCACAUAUAUAUAACUCUCAUACAACCAACCAAAUUCAAGUAUAUGUAUACAUAUAGAUACAUAUAUAAUUAUUUGAAUUUAUAUAUAUAUAACUUUAUUCUAUUCAUACUUUAAAUUAGUUCAAAAAUUUAUAUAAGCAUAUACCUAUAUAUUUGAACGUUGUAUAUACAUAUUUAUACCAUUUAUAAUUUGAAUUUAUUCAAUUAAAUUACUUUUAAUUAUAGCUCAACAACAACAUAAUAGAUAUUCAUGCAUAUAUAUAUAUAUAUAUAUAUAUUGAUUUAAUAACAUUAAAUAGCUAAUAGACUUACCUCGGACGAUGGAAAAUCGAAGUCGGACGAUUAUUCGACUAAUUUGGCUUUUCCCCGAUCUAACUCCGAUUUCUUUAGUUCUCGAUCUUGAAUUAAGCUUGUUAAUGACCGAAUACCUCAAAGCUUUUAAACCCUAUUUGUUUUUCUAAGUUUCGGCAAAGGAAGAAUGAAAAUAAUGGCUUCAAUUGAUUUAUUAUAUCAUAUGUUUAUUUAAUUAUUAGUUUACUAUAUUAACCUUUAAUACAAAAUAUAUAAACCUUAUAAUAUAAGGUCAUUUUUGACCAUUAUCACCCACUCACUACUUUAUGGUCUUAUUGCAUCAUAAAUCCUUCCAUUUAAAAAGACAACAACAAUUAGGUGCUUUUAUAAUUAACCCUUAAAUUUUUAUUUUUCGCGAUUUAAUCCUUUUAUUUAAUCGGACACUCAAACAACAAAAUUAAAACACGAAAAUUUCACACAAUCAAAUGCACACAAAGUAAACACACAAAAUAAUAUUGAAAUAUUUUUAGGACUCGGAUUUGUGGUCCCGAAACCACUAUUCCGAUUAGAGUCAAACCGGGUUGUUACAUAUCAACGCAUUCAAGCAAGCAAAUUUUUAGUUCAUUUCUUUCCUCUUUUCUUGUUUAUUAUUUAUUGAGCUUUAUUGAAAAUCAUUAUACAAGGGUUUAUUUUACUUUUAAGAGCUUAAUUUUGUAAACACUCACUUACUAGAGGUUGAUCAUGUGUUUCCUCAAAUAUUCUCUUUCUAUUAAAAAGCGAACUUUAAGGUUUUUAUGCAGAAAGCAUUAAUGGAUUAGAGGUUCUUGUUUAGCCUUGAAUGCUAGGAGAAGGCUUUUGUCUAAGCCUUGCUAGAUAGAGAGUUUUAAAGGUUAUACUUGUCUUUGAAACGUAUCAAUUCAAGUUAAUGAAUUUGGAAAAUUCUUGUCGGCAAAAGAUAAAGGAGGUAGCCAAUUAAGGCCAAACCAUUGAGUCAAUAUUUUCUAUCCUUUCUCACCUUAGUGAAAACAAGUUAGAUUACCAAUUCACUCCUCCUCUCGGUAGAAUUCGAUUCGUUAAGACUUUACACUCCCUAAACAAGCGUUGAUUUUUUAUUAGGGCUUUUCUAUUUCUUGAUUUCCUACUUAGAUACUGAUAAGUUGGGCUCUUUUGUGAUUUCUGAGCUUGUAUCUUCUUCUUCUUCAAGGAUAACCGCUUAGUAAAGCAAAAAACCCAACCUCUUGGCAUGGAACAAAAUGUUGCUCAACAAUCAGUGGGUGAAGGAGGUGACAAGAACAAAGGCAAAAUGCCUUUCAAGAAAGAAGGUGCACGAGCUUUGUAGGAAAAAUAAAAAACCGGGGUACCUCUAUACACAUUUCUCUCAAGACAAAGGGAGAAUACUCUGCCAAUGCUAAGAAAAGUGACGUCAUGUUAGGCACAUGAAAAAGCCAAGGCACCAGGAGGAAACAUCGCGAUAGAUUCCCUCUUUAAAUCUCCUUACUGGAACAAGAAUGCCUAAUAGUGCUUUGGGAAGUGAUUUAGUGGGAUAAAAGAUAAUCAAAAGUGAAGUCAGCUUUCUCGAUACAAUAAAAUGAAGGCCUUCCUUGAAUAGGAGGCAAUAAAAGGGUCCAUUGAUGAUUACGUUUUUCUAGACAUGGUGGCUCUUCAGAUCUACUUACUGUCUGUACUUGUCACAAACACUACAUCUUAUCAUCGCCAAUUAGAAUGACAUGAGAAGAGCCAACUAGGUGGAAGCAAGACAGCAGUUAAAAUAAGAAGAAGAGCAACUUGUCUUACUAAAAGUUUCAUCCCGUAUCAAGUUCGCAUAUGCAACCAUUUGACACAAUAUCUUAUUCUUGCAAGAGCGAGUAGAAAAGUUUCAAAAAGUUGGCGUAUGACGUUUUUACCCCUAGUCAAUUAUUUAGGGUUUCUUGGUGACAAAUGGUACUGUACUUUUUAGAUUGAAAGAACCAUGGAACCUGUCUUACUAUCCCCACAAUCGAGGACAAGUUGGAGGUUUAUUUUUAUCCUCAAGUGGGUUAUUCCUUCAUCCCUUUAGCUUGUUUCAGGCCGCGAUAGGGAGCCAUUCUGUUUGAGGAUAGAACUAGUGAAGUUUAGCGAGAUAUGGUCCCUACAUGGUUUUUGGCGAUUAUAUUUCGAAGGGCAUAACCUAAAUGGUGCAACUCUAGCAGAAAUAGCAUUGUUUUGUUAUGUGACGAGUUUUGGUGCUUGGUCUUCAUCAUACAAUGCUUGGCCUUGGAAGAGUGGAGAUCCUUUAGCAAAGUUAAUGCUCGAAGAGGAGCGGUAACCUCCAUAUUUCGUUUGCCAAUAUGUGCAUAAACAUUUGAAUGCUAAACUUCCUGUCACUCAGCCCAAAGAAUGAGGGAAACACGUCACUAAAAGCCUUACGAAGACCCUUGAUACAUGUAUAUGUAGGCCUUUCUCUUGUUUGCAACAUUUCGUGCCUUCUAUUAUUCUGACAUCUUUCUUAUUAAUGCUUCCUAUGCCUUAGUGCUGAUGGAACCGUCUUCAUACCAAAUUAUGAGGCUUGUACAACUAUCAGCAAAGGCUAAGCGGUUGAAGCAAAUCAAUUAGAGGCUCUCUGAGGGAUCAAAAGCAAAGAGUUGCUAGUUGGAAGGAGGGAUAAUGCUAAUAGCUAUGCUUAUGUGAAGAAAGCUCACCUGGUUGAAAAUUAGGUUCCAUAUCUAGAGGUCGAGAUAAAAAAUUUGAAAGGCAAUCUCAUGAAGUUGCUAGAAAAAUUGAAAGUAUAGGAAUCUUAGAAGUAUGACUGAAGGUCUAAAUUUUUGAAUACUUAAAGUUAAAAUCUCACCAUACACAAAUAUAUAUAUAAAUAGAAAAAGAUAGAAUAGAAUUCGCAUCUAUUAUAUCAUGUCAAUGACAAUAUAAAAAUAGAACUGAGAUCUAGAUGGAAUAUAUUGGUCAUGGGUUGAGAACGGAAGUUAUAAUUACGAUAUAUGAAUUUUCAAUCUCAUAAAUGUGCAUACAUCAUGUGUGAAUUUUGUCUGAUUCUUUCUAAUCAUUUGUCAUAUAUUUUUACUUGCACUGAUAAUAUUGAAAUCACUUAUACAAUCCUUUUCUCCAAAUAUAGACAAUACUUUUUUUUUUUAACAAUCUGAGGUUUAGGCCUUUCUCAACUCAUGCUUCAAUAUAUUUGAAUUCACUUAUAUUAAUAACAAUACUCAUGCCAAUCCCUAAACCAUAAAUUCAAUCGGUUACACAAAACCUUUUCUUUAUCAGUAUUUAAGAAGAAUAAAAUUAUUCAGCAGUUUUCUUUUUGACUUUUCCUUGUAAUAAAACAAGAAAUAUAGAUUGUAUUGCAAAAACAACAAAAAGGGUUUGUAAUAACUCAAUUAUAUGGUCAAAUAUGAUGAUAAAUAGCGUACAUUAUUUAUGGCAGUCAUGUUCUUAGAGAACAACCUAAGCCAAAUCCAGUAACCAGCAAAAGAAAACACAUAAAAAUGAUAAAUUUCAGACAUGAAUCACCAUUCAUAGACCAGAGUCAACAUUAUUCCAUUUCUUGUUCUUGUUCUUGUUCUUAACAAAGCUGUCCACAAUCUGCAAUAACGACAGGCUUAGCAGUCCUUCCACUGCUAGACCCAACUUUUUCAAUGGCUUUAACCACAUCCAUACCUUCAACAACUUGACCAAACACCACAUGCAUCCCAUCGAGCCACUCGGUCUUAGCGGUACAAAUAAAGAACUGAGAUCCAUUCGUUCCGGGACCGGCGUUCGCCAUGGAUAGUAUGCCGGGUCCGGUGUGCUUCUUGAUGAAGUUCUCGUCGGCGAACUUAGACCCGUAUAUCGAUUCACCUCCGGUUCCGUUUCCGGCUGUGAAAUCACCUCCUUGGCACAUGAAAUCAGGGAUCACGCGGUGGAACUUAGAGCCUUUGUAGUGGAGUGGUUUACCGGAACGACCGACGCCUUUCUCGCCGUUACAGAGUGCCCGGAAGUUCUCGGCGGUACGAGGAGUGACGUCUGCGAAAAGCUCCAUCACGAUCCGGCCGGCCGGUUGACCUCCGAUCGUCAUGUCGAAGAAAACCUUGGGAUUUGAAGCCAUAGUUAAAAAAAAUUGAAAAUUGGCU